RNAcentral lists this ribosomal RNA (918 nucleotides) under Saproscincus lewisi. Its description in RNAcentral is "partial 16S ribosomal RNA". It matches the Rfam family "Archaeal large subunit ribosomal RNA", at positions 1416 to 2650 of the family's 2987-position model. The record is from RNAcentral. Lineage: Eukaryota; Metazoa; Chordata; Lepidosauria; Squamata; Scincidae.
UUUAGACUAAACAGCACAAACUAGCCCCCCGUUAGACUAAAAGAUACUCGACUGGGGUACAGCCCUAUCGAGCAAGGAUACAACCUAUACUAAUGGACCAGGACUAACACCCAUAGCCAGUAGGCCUUAAAGCCGCCCCCAGCAAAUAAAGCGUCACAGCACAACACUACAAAUACAAAUAGUCCCGCCAAUCCCUUAGCAAACGACUGAGCCACACUAUGUCAAUAGCAGCACUAAUGCUAAAACUAGUAACAAGAAGACUUCUCUGUACACCCCCGUGCCCCAGUAAUAGAAGACCUACUGGAGACUAACAGACUAAACAGGACAUCAAACUGUCACACCAACACUGGAGUGUUUAAAAGAAGGUUAAAAGCCCCAUAAGGAACUCAGCAAACCUCCUGUCCCAACUGUUUACCAAAAACACAGCCUUUAGCCAAACAAGUAUUAAAGGUGCUGCCUGCCCAGUGAAGCAUUUCAACGGCCGCGGUAUCCUAACCGUGCAAAGGUAGCGUAAUCACUUGUCUUUUAAAUAAAGACUUGUAUGAACGGCUAAAUGAGGACAACCCUGUCUCUUGUGGCUGACCAGUGAAACUGAUCUUUAAGUACAAAAGCUUAAAUAAACACAUAAGACGAGAAGACCCGUGGAGCUUUAAACCAACACUUAUUACACCAAUAGUGCUAGUUUUGAGUUGGGGCGACUUCGGAACACAGCUAAACUUCCGAGCACAGAACUAACUACUCUCUCCUAGACUGACAAGUCAAAGAAUGCCGACCCAGUCACACUGAACAACGAACCAAGUUACCCCAGGAAUAACAGCGCCAUCUUCUUCAAGAGUUCCUAUCGACAAGAAGGUUUACGACCUCGAUGUUGGAUCAGGACACCCAAAUGGUGCAACAGCUAUUAAAGGUUCGUUUGUU